UUGGUAGAUACAAUAGAAAGAAAACUGGUUGUUUGGGUUUCAGCUAUUUGAAUAGUUAAAUACUAUAUUUUGGUAGGUAAAUAUUUAAAUGGUACACUGAAGGCAUAAUUAAAUUACAUAUAUUAAUUUGAUUAUUUUUUUGAAGGAAAAAGUAAAUUAAAACUGACCAGUUUGGAUCUAAAAUAAAUGGAAAAUAGGUUAAUUUUCUAGAAGCUCUUUGUGAUAGAUAAUGGUGCCUGUAUCUGUAUCGGAAAAGGUUGAGUAAGCUAAUAGGGCCUGAGUUUCAGGGUGACUCGUAGCCCUGAAAAGUUUUCAAGUAUUUUGAUGCCUGUUACAGAUGAAUUAACCCUGUUGUUUUAUCCACUUCCUAUGAUAAAAGCUAAAAGAGAUCAGACCCUCAACAAAGUUAUAUUCUAUAAGUGGUAAAGGAAUAAGUUCUGCUAUUUGUAAUAUCAUUUUCUUCUAUUUAGUGUGCCUUGUUUUUUUCUAUGUCUUGUUAAAAUACUCCCCCAGGAUUAUGGGUGAGGUCUUAAGUUUUUCUUUUAAUUUGUAUUAGGUACAAAUGUUGCUUAAAGGUUAUCCUUCAUUAAGUUGUCCUGCUCACUGAUUGUUUGAAUUGGCUCCCUGUCAAAGUGGUCACUUCAGCUAUUACUGCGGAUGGUAUCUUGCCGCGCUGGGUAGGGGUCUGAAAUAUAAAUUUUUAGUUCAGUUAAUUAGCAGUAGUGCGGACUCAUUGCACUGAGACUGCAGAAACUGAGAGAUGUGUGUAACCUUAACAACUGAUUGUCUUAGAAACUGCUGUUGUCACAAAACAUUGUAGGAUACUGGGUUUUAUGAAUGUUUGUCUGUAUACCAAAUCACUCUGAAUAUGCUGAGUUUGAUUCUUGAAAUAAGCCCAAAUUGUUUGUGCUUGUCUAUGAUUUUUUUUAAACUGAAUUUUUCUUUAAAGAGCUAAAACCUGUGUUAAUGCUAUGGGAUUUGGAGUAGUCUUAGUGUUUAUUGUUUACUCGCUAUAUACCCAGUGGACAUUGUCAGAAGUAUUGGUAGAAUAUAAAAAGAACUGUUUGUAUGUCUCAGUAUAAACCUCGUUUAAUAAGAAGUAAAAUUCUCUUUCUGUUAAUUUUAAUUUUUCCCUGUAACAGUACAAAAAAAGAAGAUUUUUUUUGUAUUGAGUUCUUUAAAUUCUAGAUAAGAAAUUGAAUCAUUCUUGUGUGAAAAGAAGAUUUUGAGUUGUAUGGAGAAUUGUAAAUUAUUUUGUAUAAAGAGGAUGAGUGAAUUAUGAACUAGAAAACUCAUUCAAAUAUUCAGAUUGUCUGAAUAAUAGUCGUAGCAUGUUUCCUUCCUGUAAGGUAUUUCUGAAGAUUUUUCAAAAAGUACUGUUCAAAAUUAAACUUGCAUUAUACCUAGAUCUGAAUUGAUAAAUUUAAUUUAAAGCCAGCUGUGAGAGAGCUUCAAGAUGUUGAUUUAUAAAAUCAGAUAGAUUCUGGAAAAAGUUUUUUUUCAUAUGACAAAGGUGUAGUCUGUGCUAACCCCUCAGUUUUGGAGGGUUCCCCUGUUAUGUCUUUAACAGGUGCUGGUGCGAAGAAACAUUAGGAGAAAUAUUAAGAGAGACAUUUUUGACCGUGUGAUCGGUGGGGAAAACUGGAAUCAAUUGGAUAACACCUAAAAUUCGUUGCAGGUUAUCCGGGACUGAUCAUGGUGUUCUUGGCAGUGGCUGCGUUCCUUAUGGUCGGCCUGGCUGGGCUCGGGAGGAAUGUCAGGCAGGGCGGCACAGCCCGCGAGUGCGGGAGCCACUCUGCCCCUGCUUCGGGUCUCUGUGUCUCUGGUGGAAAAGGAGAAGCAGUUUGCACAGAGGACACUCAGCUCUGUGCACAGAUUUCCAGCAAUGGCUCCCUGCACACAGGAACAGAAUUCCUGCAAAUUGUCAUCUUGCCAGAGAAGCUCCGAGGAGCCUCACUUGAGUGGAUGGAGCUGUGCUGUCCCCAGCUUCCUCUGCCAUAUGUUGCCAUCCCCGUGAGUGUCAGCAGAAAUUACUGUGCUCAGAAUUUAUGAACAGAAAUGCAAAAUAUAUUUGUCUGGUACAGAAAUGCCAACCUUCUGAACCUCAGGUAGCCUCAGAUGGUGUUUUUGACAGAUCUGUACAUCUUCCUUGCUGAUGAAGAUUUAUCUCUGGAUCUUUCUGUGUCAGAGAAGGAGUUUGCUCUUUUGAGGGUGGUUUGAGUACAUGAGAUAUGUGAUCCCAUCCCUGGAGAGCAUGUUCUGCCAUUGGCAUGAGCUGCUACAUGGAAGCUCUUCUGGUCAGAGGAGGUGUCACUCACUGCAUCCUUCUAGCUCUUCUUCCCAGCAUACCAGAUGGAGAUGAACAUGGAAGCACCAGGAGAACAAUUUCCACAUGAUGUUCAGCCAGUUCAAGACUGAAUUUCACCCAUGGCCACUAGAAGUUUAGAGGGUACUAUAAGGUUUUACAGCAAGAGAAGACAUCACAGGUUUCGUAUAAUCUGGCACUGGCCAUUUUUCAUUUGCCAGGAUGUCUCUACUCUCUGUGUGGUUGAUUGAGGAAAAAUGUCCAUGAGUGUAAUUCAGAGGCUGGGUGGAUUGAACUGAUUCCUCUUCAGAGCCUAAGCUGGCUCUGUAAGUAUAAACCAUACAAAUUCCUCCUUUUUCAGGGUAAGACUUUUCAAAGUAAUCUCAGUUUUUACAUUUUUGCACAAUUCUUAAUCCCAUUCUAUUAUUCCCUUGUAUUUUGGGCACAUUUGGAACCUGAACACUUGAGCCCACAUAUAUGCAUCAGCUCCAUGACUCACCUUUGAGCAUUACUUAUUGCACAUGAUGAAUAUUUGGUUUGUGUAACAGAUCUCUGGCAGAGGGGUUAUUUCCCCAAGUUUUUGUGUGAAUUAGAAGAAUCUGGGAUACCCUUUGUAGACUUGUUUCAUGCUUCAGCAUUUGACUCACGACUCUAAUCUGGUACCAUCUUCAUGGCUUUAUGUACCUCUUAGCUGCCUACAGCUCAGAUUGAUUUUCCUCCUACUCACCCUUUUGCUCACUACUCUUCUCCCAGUUCUCCUCUAAUUCCUCUUGUUUCCAUAUGCUCUGUUUUGUUUGUUCCCUCUUCUUCCCUCCUCUGUGGUGCUCAGCCUGUCCAGCCAGGGGAUGCUGGUAUACUGGUUUGAAAGCAAAACCAGUGAGACCCCAAGUCAGAAAUACAAUUUAAUAUAGAGAGAACAAACAAACAACAAAAAAGGUAAAAAUAAAAUAAAAUAAGAUAAAUGUAAUAGUACAAAAGACCACUGACAGAGUCAGAAUGCAAACCUGACACCCUGUUGGUCAGGGUGUUUGAAGCAGUCUGAAGUAAGUCCUCCUGGAGUGACAGUUGUGGCUCCGUUGGAGUAGAGAUGAUCCUCAAGAAAGGAUCCAGUCUUCCUUCAAGGAUUCAGUGGAAAACCAGCUGCCUUAGUGUUUGGGAUUGCAGGUUUUAUGCCUGUGGAAAGGCUUUGGCUCCUCCCACUGAGUGGAGCAUCUCACAAUGGAAUGAAGUAAUGUUGUCAGUCAUGUGAGAGGCCUUAAAUGGCCCAUUCACAGGUAAUAUCCCUCGGAGGAGGAUGGGUGGAGGAAGAGAUAAGAAGGCACUGCCUUAUCUGGUGUUAUCAGGUGUCCAUUAACAGAAGGCAUCCACCCUCUUCCCCUCCUAGAGUUACAAGAGAUAAAGAACAAUAUCUCCCAACAGGUUUCAUGAGAUGAAAAUAGAAUACACAUUUUUGGUUACAUUUUGCAACUCAAGACAGAAAGGGAUACCAAACAUCUCUCUUUUGUACAGGAACAAAGAUGAGGGGCUGAGAUAUCUUGCCAAACCCCACUGAAGUAGUUUGUCUGUUAUCAAUUGUAUGCUUGUCACACUUUAAGAGGUCUAAAGGUCAUGUCUGUCACCAUGAGAUUUUCCUAGUUUGCUGAGCGUUCAUACUAAAGUAGAAGUGUGCACCUUCUCACGCUCAUUCAUGUAAACAAGGAGAUCGUGUUUUGUAAAUAUUGUAAUUGUUUUGAAUUCCUUCUCCAAGAGAAGGAAUGAUUGUGUGACAGCCCCUUUGACCAAUGUGGCUGGAAGGUGGGAAUGCCACUCUCCAAUCCAUGGGCACCUUGUUAAAAGUAUAUAAUAGGAAGUAAUAAACAAAGCAGGAGAUCCUCCCUGCUGCUCUGAUCUCCCCAAAACUCCAGACUCCCUGUGUCUUUUCUUGUUGUGGUGUGGGUUUUCUGCUUUGAGUUUUCAGGCCAGAUUUCUAUUUCAUUUGUGUGUUAUGGCUAAAAUUAUGCAUACCGCUAUGUCAGUUUUCUGUAUCCCUGCCUCUGUUGCUAGAAUCUUCUUUGCCAGUCUUCCUUAGCUCAAUAUAUCAUUUGCUAUUUUGUAUCAUUACACUGCUUUUGCUAUUCCCAUUGGAUUUAGUUCUGUAUUCCCACCUUAGACUCCUCCCUGAGUGCAUUCUCAUUGGUUGUUUGCUUUGUAUUGCCUUGUCUAUAAAACCCACGGCGAGAAGUGUGUUCCCCGUUCUUGGUGUUCAGUUUUAGGUUUUAUUCUUCAGUUGUACCUUUAAUAAAUCUCCCUAGUUUACCCCAAGACCUGUCUCGCCUCUGCUUCAUCUCUGCGCCCCAAAAGCACUCGCUGAGACCAUCGGAGUUCCUGAGCAGGGAGGAAGAGUCUCCCCGGGGGGAAUGUGCCGCAACCCAAUGCUGCCAUGCGCGUCCUGGGAAACGCACACCACGGCAUUUUCUGGCGAGGCUCACAGCGACACAUGUCUUAGGGAUCACUCCUGUUUCUCCUUCAGACACGGUCAGGUGGGACUGUGACUUUGACCUCCUUUCAAUUCUACAAGAAGCAAAAUCCUGAGGCUGUCUGGAUUUGAGGUAAGUGAAUGAAUUCACCUUUAGAAAGAUGAUGUUAAACGUAGGGAUAGCUCAUUGUGUGAAAUCUGUUUUCGUGCUUCCAAAAUCUCCCUGGAGGAGGAGGACUUGUCCUAACUUGGAUAAACCUCCACAAAGCUCCUGUGCUGCACUUGGCAUUUGGAAUGGGAGAAGCCAUUCCAUGCCCUGCAGACACAGGAGAAAUGAUUGUCAGCUGCAACCCACACACUGAGGUUAUGAAACCCAAAGUGCAGGAGAAAUCUCCACCCUGAAAGGAGAUAUGUAUGCUUGAUUUGGAAUUCCAAUGGGAUGGGUGAGGUGGGUGUGCUGAUUACAGUUUGGAGCAGGAAUGAUGGAGGAUUUACAAGAGCUGGGCUCCUUCCCAGAGCUCUCCAGCUUGAACACGGCAAUGUCUCCUUAAAGGUCUGCAGAGAGGGAUUUUAGUGCAAAUUCCCUAUUGAUAAUCCUUCACAGAAUGAGCAAUACAGGCAACAAUCUGGAAACGUCCAUGAGACCCAAAUUCCUGUGUCCCUCUUCCCAGGGGCAGGGCUCCAGAGCUUGAGCUGACCUCUCCUUUACUUCCCCUUUCCUUCCAGAAAGCGUUGGUGCAGGAUUUUCACUGGGGCUAUGCCAGCCAAAGUAGGCUUGCAGGAGGAAUUGUGCCCUCAGCAAACACAUUUCAAAGUCAUACAGAGUAUGCCACCAUGGCCGUGUGUUGGGGCAGUGUGGUGACAGCUCCUCAGGUGGCACACCAGCUUUAGCAGGACGUGAGCUAAGAAAAGCCAUGUUUGGUGGGGUAGUCCAAUGCUGCAGGUACCAAAUGUGUAGCCAAAAAGUGCUUUACAGGAAGGUGCAGGUCUGUUGUCUCAGGGUGGUGUUUGUCAUGGCUCUUACUCCCUAAGAGCCACUCUGUAAUGGGCUGGGAGGGGAAAAAAAGAGGGUGAGGAUUGCAAAGGCACUGCUUAGAACUGAAAUGAGUUGUUUGAAAGGUCUCACGGGUUAAGAAAAGCUGGGGAUCUUGGAGGGGCUGGGUGUGCUACAGAUUCACAGCAGGAAAGUGACUGAAGAAGAGGGUUAUGGGCCUGGAGAAGAUGGACAGCUGAUAAUUAUUCCCUAUUGUUGGGGGUUAGAUUUGCCUCUUUUUCACUUAGAGAAUUUUUUCCCAUAAGUUGCUAAGAAACCUUAACGACAGUACUUAACCAGAACAAAGGGAGUAAUUGAAGGACAUGGCAGCACAAGGCUACACCUAUUGUUUUUCAGUCUCCAGGAGCUCCCCUCAGAGGGGAGAGAUAAUGCGAACUUUGGUAAAGGUAAGAGACAGAACUGGGGGGGCAGUUGCUCACUCUUGCUCUCAGCAUCGAGGAGGACAGUCAAGCUGCCCCUCGCUGCAAGAAGAGUCCACGGCCAUCACUCCGUCUUGUCCUGGGAAAUCUACCGUCAUCUGCUCGUGUACCCAGGAAUCCUGAGUUUGCUGUUUCUUCGGAGCUUUGAGGCUUUCCUGCUACUCUGUAGCCCUGCACUGCCCAGCUCUGCCGGGACACCCCCUGCCAUUCCAGCUACCAGCGCAGAGCUCCUCGUCUCAUCCACCAGCCUGGGACUUUCCACCCUUCCAGCUUGGCCUCUCGGAGUCCUGCAGGGGCACUGAGAUCAAACUGCCCCAGGCUUUUGUGAAAGAAAGCCCUCAAGAAGCUGUGGAAAGCUCCUGUGGCUGACUCUAUCCCCAGCUCUCAACCCCGGGUCUGUUGGAUGCUCUCCCUCCCUGCCACCCGCCCAGACAGUACCACACGCAUCCCAACAAACCCAAGGUGUAUUAACACAGACAGAAUGUGAAAUCCAAGUGAAGGAAACAGUCUGCAGAACAAAUCUCAUGGUAUUUGGCUUGCUCAUGGGCUAUGCAAGAAGGAAGGAGAAAAAUCAUCACCAGCAAGAAGCUUUGCAGUGGGAAAAGCCUUUUUUCGGCAAAGGAUUAAGUAACACCAUUAAAUAUUGAACGAUGCUGAGGUGUGUCUGUGCACAGCCUCAUUUCAGCCCAGUGUGAUGCAGAUUUUAUUUCCUCCUCUGCAGAAAUCAUGAAGUCCUGUUUUAAACCACGAUGGAAGAGACAAUCGGAUAAAAUCUGUACCUUGCCACUACUACUUUUAUGAUUUGUUAAGUUCACUGGAAUGAAUAAUACAGCAUGAACAGAAUAUUUUAAAUACCCCUUGGCAGUCACUGAAGUACAAUAAUCAUUUAAAAGACACGGGAAUUACCAAACUGCAUGUGCAGCUGGUGCCACCUCAAACCAAAGGGAGCCUUGCCUGGGUGAUUUUCACCUCUGCACUCUAAUUUUGUAUUUCACCAGAGCUGUUAAGAAUAAAUAAAUAAUAAAUUGAACAGCAAAAAACAAGUCAUUCUGGGCAACCUCUGGCAGCUGUUUGCUCUUAUAAUGCUGUUUGGUGAGCUGGAAGCACCUAGUUCAUUUCCUAAAGAGCAUUUUCUGCUUAGGUUUGGGCUCUAUUAAUCUGUUCAAGCCAAUUCUCUAAAAUCCAAACCAUCUGUAUUUGGGAAGAUCAUGGUUUAUUUGGAUUCUCUUUGUGUCUGCUGUCAGUAGAUGAUUAAAAGUAUGAGGGAUUUACAGUGUAAAGUCUCUCAACCGACAUGUUACAGUGAACUUCUAAGCAGUAUCUCUUUCAAUAUUUGGGUAACAGCUGGUACAGGUGAGUCCAGCAGGGAAACAAAGAACAGCCACAAAACCUGGAAAUGGCUGAACUUUGGCAGUGUAGAAUGGCUGCAAAGAGUGGGGAUAGCUGAACUUUCAGUGUUUCACCUGGUGUUUUACUGGCAGUUUCUGAAGAUUCCUUGUGAAACACACAGGUAACAUUUUUGUAUCAGGGUGCCUGGAAUUUCUAGGGAGGCAGUGAAGAGGUAACUGGAGAUCUGGCCUAGUAAGCCAUUACUUCAUGUUGUCCUCAUGCCCCAUGCCCGGGUGCCAUCCAGCCCCAUGCUGUGUGUGGGGCAGCUGCUGCUCCUCCAUGCCCCACUCGCAGGGGGCGCUGCAUCCUCCCACUCCCCACUGCUUCCCAUCCUGCACAAGUGGAUGGAGCAUCAGCUCUUGUGGAGAAUUGCCAGCCAUAAGACAUAUUAAAUCUAUUUUUCUCAGAAAAUUGUAAAUAAUUCAUGGGGCUUGGUUCUAUAAAGAGGCCAGUUAUAAAUCAUCCAAGCUGCACCUGGAGAUUUCUGAUGUCAGCAUUAUGACAUGAAUUACAUCUCUCCAGGGCCAUCUAUUACUGUAAACACAAUUCCAAAGAGGAAUUAUUCAUGUAACAUGCACAGGCAAACAAGUAAUUUUCAGCCUGGAUUUGAUACGAAAGCUUUGCAAUCCAACUGAGUUGUUAGUGGCACUAAUUUUCUGCUUUGGCUUUAGAGAUGCUUUUACUCUGCUCCUGUACAGGUGGAUUUUUCCCUGGGGAGCACCUGUUGGUGGGAAUGCUGGCUGACUGUACACCACCAGCAGCCCAGGUCCUGUGAGGUGCAAGGAAAAAGCCAUGGAUGUGAUUCCAGAGGGACAAGAGCAUGUGCUGCAGAAAAGAUCUGGAUUCUGAGAUUUCCAUGUAUCACCAUCUUAACUGUGCUGGGAGUACAGUCCACUUACAGCUGUUGAAUUACACCAACUCUUUCUUUUUCAUUCUGCACUUCAGAAAUAGAAACAUUGUUGAAUGGAAACAUGCCAGGUUCCUGAUGGUUUCCAAUUCUUGGUGUCAGCACAGAAAGAUAUGAGAGGCAAAAAACUGAGAUGUGUUUAUGUACUGAAUGAAAGGACUCCUGAAAUCCUGCUUUUCUGUGGUAUCUGUUAGAUGGGAAAUGGUAGAGAUGUUUCUGUUAAGGCAACCAAGUAGGUGAGUGAAAAGCAGGGGGGCAAAGCUACAUCCAGAGUUGGGAACGAUCUGCUGAGCUCAGAACAAAGACGAAUAAAAUGGAAUCUAUCUUGGCAAGAGGCCUGUGGAAUGAGCCUGGUGCCAGGUGCUCCUGUGGACUUGACCAUCUGAGGCUUGGCCUUGGCCAGGCCAGCAGUUUGGCUGUGCCUGGCCCUGCCCAGCACUGCCUGCACCACGUGUAGUUUAUGGCCAGCAGGGACCCGUGGCAGUACAAAGGCUUAUGUCUCCGCAGGCUGGACUUUAACAGUUCGUGCUCAGCUCUGAGGCACUGCUGUCUGGGCAGAGGUCACAUCCUUCCUGCCCCAGAAAGGGCUUUGGAAAGGCUGGAAAAACACUCUCUGGCCUACAGACUGCUGUGGAAUCUCUCCAGAAAAAGGUAUCUCCUUUUUCCCUUUCUGCUCAGCUCUGUGGAACAGAAAUAGGUACAAAGCACCUGAACACACAGAGGUGGGCUGCUGAAGCUGGAUCCAGUGGCAUCUGUCUGAAGUGCCCAUGUAAUAAAUACUGUUGAAUAAUUCAUGUUUUGGUGUAUAUAAAAUGUAAAUAUGUUUUGUAAAAUGAAAUGCACAAGCAGGUCGGGCAUGAAACCGACUAAUUUUAGGAUGGGCAAUGUUGCCGGAGAUCAGCCAGAGUCAAGACAGCACUCAAUAUGAGUUAGAAAUCUUGCUCGUUUAUUCAGCUACUUGACAUACAUUUAUACUGUGCUAAGCAUAUCAUGCACCUAACUCUGAACAUCAUUGGUUAAACCAUAGUGUUCACGCAUCCUUGCAGUAUACAUAAUUGGUUUAGAAGCUCUGCGGCUGGAUGCUGUGAGCCUUCUCCAACUUAUGGUCAACACACCCUGUCUAGCAUCCUGUUACAGCUAUUGCUCCAAACUUUACUUCCUCCUUAUCCCAUCUAAAGAACAGUUCAAGGACGUUUCAGCUUCUACUCAUCCUUUAGGCUAAAAGCAGGAUUGUGCACAUGUCCCUGCUUUUCCAGCCAUGCAUCCACAGGGCAAUACCCAGAGGCUACGAAUCCGGGAAAGACAAUACCCCUGCCGGUAAAUUGGGAAGCACACUAUUAACACCAGAAUAAAGGGUAAAUCAAGAUUGGAAUCAGUCCUCCGGGGCCGUGGAACUGUGAAGUUCCCAGCCAUCAUGGGAGAUACCAUCGGGAGAAUGCCUUCCAUUCAGGAUUUCACCUCCCAUUCAUACACGGAGGAACAGACUUAACAUUCAUCUUUCUUCGGGGAACCCCAUUCAGCAGACCGGACAGCAGAAAUGAAUAUGAAGAAACCGACCCAAAGACAAAGAUCUUUGGGGAAAUACUCUGCCGCCGGCAAAAUAAACUGUAUAAAAAGGGGACCCUGAAAAGGGCCAAUUGGUCCUGUUAUAAACGUAGAAUGGUUAAUUCAUGUUCUUAUGAUAAAUUAGAAAUUUAUAAAAUUGUAUAAAGUGAUAUCAGGUAAAAGUUUAUGUUUUAAGAGAUUCUGCAGCAGACGGCGAAACUGACCACCCUGAGACAGCCGGCGCCCCAUUCAGAAAAGAACAAAGGGAUUUUCCGGGAAAGCCCGCAGCUGCCCAAGCACCAGGGAGGGGACCCCGGAGAUAAGCUGGCACCAGCAACUCACACCUUGGGUGCCAGCUUCACGGACCAUCAAGCCACAUCUUCGAUAUCCCGACCACUCAUCAACUAUAAGGACCUAUUGAAAUUGGACAUUAACAUUUGAACUGAGAAAAGAACUCUUUUCUGCUUGGUCGGGGAGACUCCCGAAUUUGUAUAGUUGGUGGGGAAACAAUGGGGAAUAUGGGGAAAUAUUGCCGAGGGCGGAAUAAAGUGUAUAAAAACCAAGCCCCGAACCGGGCUAAUUCGUGAACCGUUGGGGGAGAUAGCAGGCUGCCAGGCCCUGUAUCUCACGGUUCACCCUUGGCAUUUCCCGGGAAAACUCUGUCAAGUUUUUUCCGCUGGUGGUGGGUUAUCGAAAUUCUGUGAUUUGGUUUGUUAUUAAUAAACCAAAUUAUUAUUUAAAUUGGAAUAUCUGAUUGGCAUUUAUAACAGUCCAACUCCCUCAACAGCCUCUACUUAAGCACCACCGUGCUGCCAGGAGAUACCGAGAGAUCAUAAACAGGAGAUUAGCACAGGGACGGGCACGGCUGGGGGCAGAGCCAGCUCAGGGGCAGAAAACAAAUCAAAAGCUCAUUUAGAGCUAAAGCGGGACUUGAUUUUGCCCAGAAGUGCCCUCGCUCAGAGUGCCCACAGUGUUCUGUUUCCCUAAAACUUGUGAUGGCGGGGGAAGAAAUGCCACGGUGAGCGACCACCCUCAACUGCUCCGGAGAGUCGCAGGCAGAGGGGGCUUCGCUCCUGCCCACCCCGGGCCCGCACCAGGACACGGCCCGGUCCCGAGCGCGGAGCGCUCUCGCAGUCCAGUCCCGGCGGCGCCGCUCCCGCCCACUGGAGGGCGCCUGCCCCACGCGC
Molecule: long non-coding RNA, 11261 nt
Organism: Prinia subflava (tawny-flanked prinia)
Lineage: Eukaryota; Metazoa; Chordata; Aves; Passeriformes; Cisticolidae
Exons: 7
Source: RefSeq, a predicted model, not a curated record